This 1347-nucleotide ribosomal RNA is filed under the name Vibrio owensii. RNAcentral describes it as "16S ribosomal RNA". It matches the Rfam family "Bacterial small subunit ribosomal RNA", at positions 90 to 1433 of the family's 1533-position model. The record is from RNAcentral. Lineage: Bacteria; Pseudomonadati; Pseudomonadota; Gammaproteobacteria; Vibrionales; Vibrionaceae.
GUCGAGCGGCGGACGGGUGAGUAAUGCCUAGGAAAUUGCCCUGAUGUGGGGGAUAACCAUUGGAAACGAUGGCUAAUACCGCAUAACGCCUACGGGCCAAAGAGGGGGACCUUCGGGCCUCUCGCGUCAGGAUAUGCCUAGGUGGGAUUAGCUAGUUGGUGAGGUAAUGGCUCACCAAGGCGACGAUCCCUAGCUGGUCUGAGAGGAUGAUCAGCCACACUGGAACUGAGACACGGUCCAGACUCAUACGGGAGGCAGCAGUGGGGAAUAUUGCACAAUGGGCGCAAGCCUGAUGCAGCCAUGCCGCGUGUGUGAAGAAGGCCUUCGGGUUGUAAAGCACUUUCAGUCGUGAGGAAGGUGGUGGUGUUAAUAGCUCUAUCAUUUGACGUUAGCGACAGAAGAAGCACCGGCUAACUCCGUGCCAGCAGCCGCGGUAAUACGGAGGGUGCGAGCGUUAAUCGGAAUUACUGGGCGUAAAGCGCAUGCAGGUGGUUUGUUAAGUCAGAUGUGAAAGCCCGGGGCUCAACCUCGGAAUAGCAUUUGAAACUGGCAGACUAGAGUACUGUAGAGGGGGGUAGAAUUUCAGGUGUAGCGGUGAAAUGCGUAGAGAUCUGAAGGAAUACCGGUGGCGAAGGCGGCCCCCUGGACAGAUACUGACACUCAGAUGCGAAAGCGUGGGGAGCAAACAGGAUUAGAUACCCUGGUAGUCCACGCCGUAAACGAUGUCUACUUGGAGGUUGUGGCCUUGAGCCGUGGCUUUCGGAGCUAACGCGUUAAGUAGACCGCCUGGGGAGUACGGUCGCAAGAUUAAAACUCAAAUGAAUUGACGGGGGCCCGCACAAGCGGUGGAGCAUGUGGUUUAAUUCGAUGCAACGCGAAGAACCUUACCUACUCUUGACAUCCAGAGAACUUUCCAGAGAUGGAUUGGUGCCUUCGGGAACUCUGAGACAGGUGCUGCAUGGCUGUCGUCAGCUCGUGUUGUGAAAUGUUGGGUUAAGUCCCGCAACGAGCGCAACCCUUAUCCUUGUUUGCCAGCGAGUAAUGUCGGGAACUCCAGGGAGACUGCCGGUGAUAAACCGGAGGAAGGUGGGGACGACGUCAAGUCAUCAUGGCCCUUACGAGUAGGGCUACACACGUGCUACAAUGGCGCAUACAGAGGGCAGCAAGCUAGCGAUAGUGAGCGAAUCCCAAAAAGUGCGUCGUAGUCCGGAUUGGAGUCUGCAACUCGACUCCAUGAAGUCGGAAUCGCUAGUAAUCGUGGAUCAGAAUGCCACGGUGAAUACGUUCCCGGGCCUUGUACACACCGCCCGUCACACCAUGGGAGUGGGCUGCAAAAGAAGUAGGUAG